AUUGAACGCUGGCGGCAGGCCUAACACAUGCAAGUCGAGCGGAUGAAGGGAGCUUGCUCCUGGAUUCAGCGGCGGACGGGUGAGUAAUGCCUAGGAAUCUGCCUGGUAGUGGGGGAUAACGUCCGGAAACGGGCGCUAAUACCGCAUACGUCCUGAGGGAGAAAGUGGGGGAUCUUCGGACCUCACGCUAUCAGAUGAGCCUAGGUCGGAUUAGCUAGUUGGUGGGGUAAAGGCCUACCAAGGCGACGAUCCGUAACUGGCCUGAGAGGAUGAUCAGUCACACUGGAACUGAGGCACGGUCCAGACUCCUACGGGAGGCAGCAGUGGGGAAUAUUGGACAAUGGGCGAAAGCCUGAUCCAGCCAUGCCGCGUGUGUGAAGAAGGUCUUCGGAUUGUAAAGCACUUUAAGUUGGGAGGAAGGGCAGUAAGUUAAUACCUUGCUGUUUCGACGUUACCAACAGAAUAAGCACCGGCUAACUUCGUG
RNAcentral lists this ribosomal RNA (484 nucleotides) under uncultured bacterium. RNAcentral describes it as "partial 16S ribosomal RNA". It matches the Rfam family "Bacterial small subunit ribosomal RNA", at positions 30 to 507 of the family's 1533-position model. The record is from RNAcentral.